Molecule: long non-coding RNA, 243 nt
Filed under: Prunus dulcis (almond)
Lineage: Eukaryota; Viridiplantae; Streptophyta; Magnoliopsida; Rosales; Rosaceae
Description: sRNA ncRNA
Source: RNAcentral
AUGGAGGCCCACGACCAAUGUGGAUACGGGUUGGGCCCAACAUACUUGGUUCACGGAAACACAGGUUUACACUCCCAGACGCAGACGCAGACGCUGAGGAAGAAUAACGAAGCAGCAGCACACACACGCACACCCACACUAGAGAGAGAGGCGGGGUCAUUUCUUUGUCAACCAAACCAAACGCCGUCGUCGUCAGCCAUCAGGUACUUGUUGUGCUCCAUUGAUGUACGAAAAUAUGUAUAG